ACAGAACUCUGCAACCCAGAUGC
This 23-nucleotide non-coding RNA is filed under the name Cricetulus griseus (Chinese hamster). The record is from RNAcentral. Lineage: Eukaryota; Metazoa; Chordata; Mammalia; Rodentia; Cricetidae.